RNAcentral lists this ribosomal RNA (460 nucleotides) under uncultured bacterium. Its description in RNAcentral is "partial 16S ribosomal RNA". It matches the Rfam family "Bacterial small subunit ribosomal RNA", at positions 338 to 795 of the family's 1533-position model. The record is from RNAcentral.
CCUACGGGUGGCAGCAGUGAGGAAUAUUGGUCAAUGGGCGCGAGCCUGAACCAGCCAAGUAGCGUGAAGGAUGACUGCCCUACGGGUUGUAAACUUCUUUUAUAAAGGAAUAUAGUGAUGCACGUGUGCCUUUUGGUAUUUACUUUAUGAAUAAGGAUCGGUUAACUCCGGCCCAGCAGCCGCGGUAAUACGGAGGAUCCGAUCGUUUUCCGGAUUUAUGGGGUUUAAAGGGAGCGUAGAUGGGUUGUUAAGUCAGUUGUGAAAGUUUGCGGCUCAACCGGAAAAUUGCAAUUGAUACUGGCAGUCUUGAGUACAGAUGAGGUAGGCGGAAUUCGUGGUGUAGCGGUGAAAUGCUUAGAUAUCACGAAGAACUCCGAUUGCGAAGGCAGCUUACGAAACUGCCACUGACAUUGAUGCUCGAAAGUGUGGGUAUCAAACAGGAUUAGAUACCCGGGUAGUC